RNAcentral lists this unclassified non-coding RNA (359 nucleotides) under Hevea brasiliensis (rubber tree). Lineage: Eukaryota; Viridiplantae; Streptophyta; Magnoliopsida; Malpighiales; Euphorbiaceae. The record is from RNAcentral.
CUCAACCGAUCAUGAAAAACAGCAGGCCCAGGAUGGUAACUACAGGCAGUUUCAUGAUUAUCUUUUUCUUUGAAAGUUUUACCACACCCCUGAUUCCUGCAGGUUUGAGGCUGGGUUAUGUCUACUACCAUCUUUGGAGGUGCAGAGGACCCUUGCGUACCCACAUUGCUUCUAGCAAGUGGAGCUUGCUUUGCUUGGGAACCAUGAUCUGAGCAAAAGAAACCCUGCUUGCACCUAGGACAAGAUUCCUUAGAGGACAAGUUGGUUGUGGUAGCUGCAGCGGGAGGAGGAAUUGGAUUCUUUGGACUUGCAGUAGCCUUUGCUAACACAGGUUUCUCAGUUGUGUGUUUACCUGUCUU